UGUGUAGUCAUAAUGCUUUCUCAAAGAUUAAGCCAUGCAUGUCUAGUAUAGCAAUUAUACAGGCUGAAACUGCGAAUGGCUCAUUAUAUACAGUUAUCGUUUAUUUGAUAGUACCUUACUACAUGGAUAACCGUGGUAAUUCUAGAGCUAAUACAUGCUAAAAAUCCCAACUUCGGAAGGGAUGUAUUUAUUAGAUUAAAAACCAAUGCCCUCGGGGCUCUCUGGGGAUUCAUGAUAACUCUUCGAAUCGCAUGGCCUUGCGCCGGCGAUGGUUCAUUCAAAUUUCUUCCCUAUCAACUUUCGAUGUUUGGGUAUUGGCCAAACAUGGUUUCAACGGGUAACGGAGGGUUAGGGCUCGACUCCGGAGAAGGAGCCUGAGAAACGGCUACCACAUCCAAGGAAGGCAGCAGGCGCGCAAAUUACCCAAUCCCGACACGGGGAGGUAGUGACAAUAAAUACUGAUACAGGGCUCUUUCGGGUCUUGUAAUUGGAAUGAGUACAAUUAAAUCCCUAACGAGGAACAAUUGGAGGGCAAGUCCGGUGCCAGCAGCCGCCGUAAUUCCAGCUCCAUAACGUUAUUUAAAGUUGUUGUGGUUAAAAGCUUCUAGUUGAACCUUGGGCCUGGCCUGGCCAGUUCGCCUCACCGCCUGUACUGGUCCGGCCGGGCCUUUCCCUCUGUGG
RNAcentral lists this ribosomal RNA (681 nucleotides) under uncultured Phyllachora. Its description in RNAcentral is "SSU rRNA". It matches the Rfam family "Eukaryotic small subunit ribosomal RNA", at positions 17 to 706 of the family's 1831-position model. The record is from RNAcentral. Lineage: Eukaryota; Fungi; Ascomycota; Sordariomycetes; Phyllachorales; Phyllachoraceae.